This 490-nucleotide ribosomal RNA is filed under the name uncultured bacterium. RNAcentral's name for it is "partial 16S ribosomal RNA". It matches the Rfam family "Bacterial small subunit ribosomal RNA", at positions 29 to 507 of the family's 1533-position model. The record is from RNAcentral.
AGUGAACGCUGGCGGUAGGCCUAACACAUGCAAGUCGAACGGCAGCACAGGAGAGCUUGCUCUCUGGGUGGCGAGUGGCGGACGGGUGAGGAAUACAUCGGAAUCUGCCCAGUCGUGGGGGAUAACGUAGGGAAACUUACGCUAAUACCGCAUACGACCUUCGGGAGAAAGAGGGGGAUCGCAAGACCUCUCGCGAUUGGAUGAGCCGAUGUCGGAUUAGCUAGUUGGCGGGGUAAUGGCCCACCAAGGCGACGAUCCGUAGCUGGUCUGAGAGGAUGAUCAGCCACACUGGAACUGAGACACGGUCCAGACUCCUACGGGAGGCAGCAGUGGGGAAUAUUGGACAAUGGGCGCAAGCCUGAUCCAGCCAUACCGCGUGGGUGAAGAAGGCCUUCGGGUUGUAAAGCCCUUUUGUUGGGAAAGAAAUCUUUCAGGCUAAUACCCUGGGAGGAUGACGGUACCCAAAGAAUAAGCACCGGCUAACUUCGUG